Molecule: long non-coding RNA, 208 nt
Filed under: Lathyrus oleraceus (garden pea)
Lineage: Eukaryota; Viridiplantae; Streptophyta; Magnoliopsida; Fabales; Fabaceae
Description: Pisum sativum (pea) long non-coding RNA (PSAT_LNC028349)
Source: RNAcentral
UUCACCAAGGAUCUUUGUACAUCACCACAUGAAUGGUAACAACAAUAUAUCAAUCUGAAACCACGACUACCACAAGGACGGUAGCGCCGAUAUACCAGAACUGAAUCUAGUGAGGUUAAUGCAUCCCAAAAUAGCGAACUCAAAGCAACAAUUUCACAAUAUCAAAAUAAUAGUUUAAACAAACUAAGCACAGUGGAAAAAUAGAAAA